CCUACGGGAGGCAGCAGUGGGGAAUAUUGGACAAUGGGCGAAAGCCUGAUCCAGCCAUGCCGCGUGUGUGAAGAAGGCCUUCGGGUUGUAAAGCACUUUCAGUGGGGAAGAAAGCCUUGGGGCUAAUACCCUCGAGGAAGGACAUCACCCACAGAAGAAGCACCGGCUAACUCCGUGCCAGCAGCCGCGGUAAUACGGGGGUGCGAGCGUUAAUCGGAAUUACUGGGCGUAAAGCGCGCGUAGGCGGUCUGAUAAGCCGGUUGUGAAAGCCCCGGGCUCAACCUGGGAACGGCAUCCGGAACGGUCAGGCUAGAGUGCAGGAGAGGAAGGUAGAAUUCCCGGUGUAGCGGUGAAAUGCGUAGAGAUCGGGAGGAAUACCAGUGGCGAAGGCGGCCUUCUGGACUGACACUGACGCUGAGGUGCGAAAGCGUGGGUAGCAAACAGGAUUAGAUACCCUUGUAGUC
RNAcentral lists this ribosomal RNA (464 nucleotides) under Vreelandella stevensii. RNAcentral's name for it is "partial 16S ribosomal RNA". It matches the Rfam family "Bacterial small subunit ribosomal RNA", at positions 338 to 795 of the family's 1533-position model. Lineage: Bacteria; Pseudomonadati; Pseudomonadota; Gammaproteobacteria; Oceanospirillales; Halomonadaceae. The record is from RNAcentral.